UACGUAGGGUGCGAGCGUUAAUCGGAAUUACUGGGCGUAAAGCGUGCGCAGGCGGUUCGUGAUGUCUGGUGUGAAAGCCCCGGGCUCAACCUGGGAAUUGCAUUGGAAACUAGCGGGCUGGAGUGUGGCAGAGGGGGGUGGAAUUCCACGUGUAGCAGUGAAAUGCGUAGAGAUGUGGAGGAACACCGAUGGCGAAGGCAGCCCCCUGGGCUAACACUGACGCUCAUGCACGAAAGCGUGGGGAGCAAACAGG
RNAcentral lists this ribosomal RNA (253 nucleotides) under uncultured bacterium. RNAcentral describes it as "partial 16S ribosomal RNA". It matches the Rfam family "Bacterial small subunit ribosomal RNA", at positions 524 to 776 of the family's 1533-position model. The record is from RNAcentral.